Molecule: ribosomal RNA, 497 nt
Filed under: uncultured bacterium
Lineage: Bacteria
Description: partial 16S ribosomal RNA
Rfam family: Bacterial small subunit ribosomal RNA
Source: RNAcentral
GAUGAACGCUGGCGGCGUGCCUAAUACAUGCAAGUCGAGCGAACAGACGAGGAGCUUGCUCCUCUGACGUUAGCGGCGGACGGGUGAGUAACACGUGGAUAACCUACCUAUAAGACUGGGAUAACUUCGGGAAACCGGAGCUAAUACCGGAUAAUAUAUUGAACCGCAUGGUUCAAUAGUGAAAGACGGUUUUGCUGUCACUUAUAGAUGGUUCCGCGCCGCAUUAGCUAGUUGGUAAGGUAACGGCUUACCAAGGCAACGAUGCGUAGCCGACCUGAGAGGGUGAUCGGCCACACUGGAACUGAGACACGGUCCAGACUCCUACGGGAGGCAGCAGUAGGGAAUCUUCCGCAAUGGGCGAAAGCCUGACGGAGCAACGCCGCGUGAGUGAUGAAGGUCUUCGGAUCGUAAAACUCUGUUAUUAGGGAAGAACAAAUGUGUAAGUAACUAUGCACGUCUUGACGGUACCUAAUCAGAAAGCCACGGCUAACUACGUG